CACACAGAGAGAGAGGGAAAGGGAGAGACUACUGGGGGAGUGACGGCAGGUCAAGGAGACACAGGAUGAGCAGUAGAGGGUGUUGCAGCAGCAGAUGUGACACUGUUAAUCUGAAUAAAGAGAGAACCUGUGUGGAUCUGGAGAUCUCCUCUGCUGACGUAACAAUGUAAUACAGUGCUACAGUAAAACUUUGCAGAUUAAGUUGGGUUGGAGUAUUCAGCUUCUGUUGAGCUAUUAGUCAGUUUGACUUCCAACCAUGUUGUUAAUUUGUUCAAUUAUUAUGUUCUCAGCAAUAGGAGGCAGUUAUGAGCAGACUAUCGAGCCAAACCAACAUGAAGUGUAUGCAGAAGUGGGUAGUAAUGUUCUUCUUUCCUGCAACUACUCCUCAGCAAACAUUCUACUAUGGUAUAAACAGUCUCCAGGAUCAGCUCCCCAAUACCUUCUGCUCAUCCCACACUACACUGGGACUGGACAGAGAGCUGAUUCUCUUGACUCUCGCAUCUCUGGUAAACUGAACAAAGAGAAGACUCGUGUGGAUCUAGAUAUCACCUCUGCUGAAGUGACAGACUCUGCUCUGUACUACUGUGCUCUGAGGCCCACAGUGACAGGAAACCCAGAAACACUGUACAAAAACCUAACAUCGUCUAAGAGAGUAUUUCUACAUUUCUAGACACGGGAGA
Non-coding RNA from Salmo salar (Atlantic salmon), 680 nucleotides. The record is from the annotation of a RefSeq genome assembly. Lineage: Eukaryota; Metazoa; Chordata; Actinopteri; Salmoniformes; Salmonidae.